CCGCCGGGACGCCGCCCUGCCCUUCACGUGAUCAGCACCGUCCCCUGGCAGGAGCCUGGAGCAGCUGCCCUGGGUGAGGAGCUCGGAAGGACAGGCAGGGAGGGCCCAGCACAGCAGGCCGGGGACAGCCAGGACGUGGGUACAGCCUGACUCGUCUGGACGGCCGCCCACGCAUCAGGGGUUUGCUCCUCCUGUCACGAGUCGGUGCAGACGAGGGCAGGGUCCUGGCCGCAGCCUCCUCACGACCCAACUCUGCGGCUGGGGGCGGCUAUUCCUGGACAGCCUCGGGUGGCUCAGGACCUCAGAAAGGGCAUCUUCAGGUGGACAUCGACGUUGGAGUCUGGGGCUCCAGAUCAAAGCCGCAGGGUCAAGAUAACCAGCAGUUUCCUCUACAACACAAAUACUGAGUUGCAAGAAGAAGCACAGGCUCUUCCGGGACCCCAGCCCAGAAAAGUGAAACAGUGUUGCCAGGCAGACCUGGGCUCCAGGGAAAGUGCGCUUGCUUCCAGCAGGUGUAUCGCUAAACACAACCACAUAACGUGCUCGCUUACCGAGUGUUCAGUGAGGUGGGUUUUGGUCCAUCCGCAGACGUGUGCCAGCAGCACCGCCGUCAACUUCAGGACACUUUCAUGACCUCGGAAGGAGCCUGCACCUUCCAGCUGUCACCACCCAUUCCCCAGUCCCCACCCAACCCUAAGAAAUGGCCAGUCUGUUUUCUGCCCGCAGCUUUCCCUGUCCGGAACGUUUCGUACAAAGGACGUCCCAGAGCGUGUGUCCGCUGCGCCGGGGCUUCCUUCACUGCGGGUGUUUUUCGGCUCGUGCCCUUCGCAGCGGGAGUCAGUACUGUACUCCUUGCUUAUGAUCCAACACACUCCCUCGGGGGGUGACCGCAGUGGUUGUCUGCUCCUCGGUCGACGGGCAUUUGGUUUCUCCUACUUUUCGGCUGUUGUGAAUGGUGCCCCGUAAAUACACAGGAACAGGUUUUCACGGGGACGUCCGUCUGCCUUGCUCGCGGGCCUGUACCCGGAGGCAAGCGUCUGCGUCACAUGGUAACCGUGGCGAGUAUUUCCGCAACUCUCAGCGACCUGCCCGCUUGGGCCUGUCUGACCUUUGGUUCCACCACCCGAGCGGAUGGGAAGCGGAAAACUGGUUUCCCCAGGGACCUCUCCCCGCAGCGGCCCGGGUCACACACAGUGACCUGCGGCCGUUGGACCUCGGAUGGGCCCCAGCCAUCCUUGACUUCCGGACCAUCCUCUCCCGCCUGGACCACGGUCUGUGGUCUCCUCCCCGCGUUCUCACAAGAGGAGGAAGAGGCCCGCGUUCAGCUCGGGUGCGCCCCUCCUUCGAGCAGCUUUCCUUCCGGGUGGGUCUCUCCCUGUGCCUCCCAGGCGGUCAGGAUACAAGUCCACCUGGGGACCUGCCAUCCUCGCAACACGGCCUUUAUGGGCCCCUCCGCUGUCAAACCACAUGUAUCUCCACGGAUGUCCCGCUCUGUCACACCCGGCCUCUGAGCCUUUGCACCCUCUGUUCCCUCUGCCUGUUGUGCUCCCUCCACCUUGGCUGGCUGGGUCCUUCCCGUCUGUACAGCUCAGCACCUCCUCCGUGAGGACCUCCCAGACCCCUGGCCAGACUUAGGUACCCUCCUCAGUGGUCCCGCAGCACCGUAGCUUUGACCAUGUGUUUGUCUGCUCUGCAGACAUAGCUCAGCACAUGGUAGGUGUUCAAUAAAUG
This is a long non-coding RNA of Phacochoerus africanus (Common warthog), 1731 nucleotides long. RefSeq lists it as uncharacterized. The record is from RefSeq and is a predicted model, not a curated record. The transcript has 4 exons. Lineage: Eukaryota; Metazoa; Chordata; Mammalia; Artiodactyla; Suidae.